This is a non-coding RNA of Tachyglossus aculeatus (Australian echidna), 83 nucleotides long. The record is from the annotation of a RefSeq genome assembly. NCBI's taxonomy places the organism in Eukaryota, Metazoa, Chordata, Mammalia, Monotremata, Tachyglossidae.
UCUGUGAUGGCCAAGGGGUUAAGGCGUUGGACUUGAAAUCCAAUGGGGGUUUCCCAGCACAGGUUCAUGUCCUGCUUACAGUG